CCUUUGUACACACCGCCCGUCGCUCCUACCGAUUGGAUGACUCGGUGAAAUCACCGGAUGCUUACGAGCAGAAAGUGAUUAAAUCACGUUAUCUAGAGGAAGGAGAAGUCGUAACAAGGUAACGGUAGGUGAACCUGCCGUUGGAUCAGUU
RNAcentral lists this non-coding RNA (151 nucleotides) under Trichomonas vaginalis G3. Its description in RNAcentral is "Eukaryotic small subunit ribosomal RNA". It matches the Rfam family "Eukaryotic small subunit ribosomal RNA", at positions 1657 to 1831 of the family's 1831-position model. The record is from Rfam by way of RNAcentral. Lineage: Eukaryota; Parabasalia; Trichomonadida; Trichomonadidae.